Molecule: ribosomal RNA, 1522 nt
Filed under: metagenome
Description: bacterial SSU rRNA
Rfam family: Bacterial small subunit ribosomal RNA
Source: RNAcentral
AGAGUUUGAUCCUGGCUCAGAACGAACGCUGGCGGCGUGCUUAACACAUGCAAGUCGAACGCGAAAGGGGACUUCGGUCCCCCGGUAGAGUGGCGCACGGGUGAGUAACGCGUAGAUAAUCUACCCCCAUAUUUGGGAUAACAAUUCGAAAGGAUUGCUAAUACCGGAUACACUUAUUUGAACGCGAGUUUGAGUGAGGAAAGGUGACCUCUUCUUGAAAGUUACUGUAUAGGGAUGAGUCUGCGUACCAUUAGCUAGUUGGUAGGGUAAAGGCCUACCAAGGCGACGAUGGUUAGCGGGCCUGAGAGGAUGAUCCGCCACACUGGAACUGGAACACGGACCAGACUCCUACGGGAGGCAGCAGUGAGGAAUAUUGCGCAAUGGGGGAAACCCUGACGCAGCGACGCCGCGUGGGUGAAGAAGGCCUUCGGGUUGUAAAGCCCUGUCAGGUGGGAAGAAGUGCAUCAUGGCUAAUAUCCAUGAUGUUUGACGGUACCACCAAAGGAAGCACCGGCUAACUCCGUGCCAGCAGCCGCGGUAAUACGGAGGGUGCAAGCGUUGUUCGGAUUUACUGGGCGUAAAGGGCGCGUAGGCGGUCUCAUAAGUCAUAUGUGAAAGCCCACGGCUCAACCGUGGAAGUGCAUGUGAAACUGUGAGACUUGAGUAUGGGAGAGGAAAGUGGAAUUCCCGGUGUAGAGGUGAAAUUCGUAGAUAUCGGGAGGAAUACCGGUGGCGAAGGCGACUUUCUGGACCAAUACUGACGCUGAGGCGCGAAAGCGUGGGUAGCAAACAGGAUUAGAUACCCUGGUAGUCCACAGCUGUAAACGAUGAUAACUAGGUAUAGGGGGUGUUGACCCCUUCUGUGCCGUAGCUAACGCAUUAAGUUAUCCGCCUGGGGAGUACGGUCGCAAGAUUAAAACUCAAAGGAAUUGACGGGGGCCCGCACAAGCGGUGGAGUAUGUAGUUUAAUUCGACGCAACGCGCAGAACCUUACCUGGUCUUGACAUCCCGAGAAUUUUCUAGAAAUAGUUAAGUGCCUCUUCACAGAGGAGCUUGGAGACAGGUGCUGCAUGGCUGUCGUCAGCUCGUGUCGUGAGAUGUUGGGUUAAGUCCCGCAACGAGCGCAACCCCCGCCUUUAGUUGCCAGCAUUAAGUUGGGCACUCUAGAGGGACUGCUGGUGUCAAACCGGAGGAAGGUGGGGAUGACGUCAAGUCCUCAUGGCCUUUAUGACCAGGGCUACACGUACUACAAUGGCCGAUACAAAGGGCAGCGACACAGCGAUGUGGAGCGAAUCCCAUAAAAUCGGUCUCAGUCCGGAUUGGAGUCUGCAACUCGACCCCAUGAAGUUGGAAUCGCUAGUAAUCGUGGAUCAGCAUGCCACGGUGAAUACGUUCCCGGGCCUUGUACACACCGCCCGUCACACCACGAGAGUCGGUUGUACCAGAAGGCGUUGGGCUAACCCGCAAGGGAGGCAGGCGCCCAAGGUAUGGCUGGUAAUUGGGGUGAAGUCGUAACAAGGUA